GCACAAGAAGCCUUCUCCUUAAAUGGUCAAAGCUCCCAGGAGUUAAAAAGAGGCUGGAGCAGGGAAGAGAGUGAGAGAGAGAGAGAGAGAGAGAGAGAGAGAGAGAGAGAGAGAGAGAGAGAGAGAGAGAGAGGGAAAAAGAAACAUCGAGGCAAGGAACAGAGAGAGCUCCAAAAGCUGCGGAGCUUCACAAGGGAGACGAAAACAGGAGCUGGGAUGAGAAGAGAGUUGUGAGCGAGUGGAGAUCUGGUGAGGGACCAUCUGUGGAUGUUCAGGGCUGCACAAACCACGACGUAUCCCAGAACACGAAUGACCCAACCCAGGCUCUGCAUACUAACUCAUUUGACCUGUGGGUGAACUGCAGCAAUAUAGUUAUCUCGCAGGCCUCUACUUCAGACCCUUUUCCUGUGGGAUUGGUUAAUGACCCAAGCCCACCAAUACACAGCACCAGAGAGAGCAGUUCUGCUACAACUCACAGCCCCUUACCGGAAACUUCCCCCGGACCGGCCUGUGAGGAGCUCCCACACCACCCCACUCCAGAGAGUGUAGCCAGGGCAGACAGGCCAGGUUGUAGCGACAGGUCCGAAGAAAGUGAGAGCAGCGAAGUUUCACCAGAGGAGGUUAUUAUCAGCAGGACCUCCAAGACAAAGAGCAACAAAUGUCCUACACAUAAGAGAAAAGACAGCGGUGGGAGAGAAGAAGUGGCAACAGAGUCCAGACGUUCGGAAUCAGAACUCGGUGAACAGAGUCAAGUCUUUAAGCUUGUGGACAAAGGGAGACCUUCAGACCCAGAGCACUGUCGGAAGCACCAGGUUUUCGAUACACCUACCCUUAGCCCAAGUGAAGGUGUAUCAGAGGGCAGUGGGAGGAGCAAAGAAGAAUCAGAACCCUGUGGGAGGAGCCAAAACGGAUUCUUAAAAGAACUAAGGACAUGCUGUACGUGUAACGUGUCUGAGUUAGAAUCUGGGAAGGAGGAAGUUUUUGAUACAUCUAAAAGUGGGAGUGUCCGAGCAGCUCAGUUUGAAUCUACAGACUCUGCUACAGCAGUAAAUCGCAAUCAGGAUAUCUCUGUGGCACGUGGGGUGCCAGGGCCGCAGGUUCAGCAAGCUUCUCUUCCGCCUCUCCGUUGUGUGGCAGCCCAGGCCUACACCCCUCUCCUUCUCCCAUACACCCGCUCUCGGCCCCCAAACGCCCCCACCAUGCCCACCCUGCCUGAAGAGGAGGAGGAUUCUGCUGAGGACAUCGAGAGUUCCUCCAGCUCCCCCACCAACUACAUGCCAGUUGAAGCCAAGCUAGUGAAUGUGACUACGGCUCCCCCUACAAUUGUCCUUCCAGGAUCAGCCCCCCAGCAGGACCCUCGUCCCUUGGAUAAAACUAGACCACUCAGCCCCAGACUUCGGCUGUCGAGAAACACCAGUGCCUCGGGGCCUCUCACUACAGUAGGUAAGCAACACGAGCCUAAUGCCUGAGCUUGUUUGUGUGAUGACGCAUGGAAUAUAUAUAGUUUCAUGUACUGUGAACUUGUGAACAGUUUAGUCUGAUUUCAGAAAGUGGAAACCUAUACAGAAAGUUCAUCAAUUAAGCUGUUUUUGAUUUAUGACCACU
Molecule: long non-coding RNA, 1605 nt
Organism: Electrophorus electricus (electric eel)
Lineage: Eukaryota; Metazoa; Chordata; Actinopteri; Gymnotiformes; Gymnotidae
Source: Ensembl